This is a long non-coding RNA of Haliotis rufescens (red abalone), 1106 nucleotides long. RefSeq lists it as uncharacterized. NCBI's taxonomy places the organism in Eukaryota, Metazoa, Mollusca, Gastropoda, Lepetellida, Haliotidae. The record is from RefSeq and is a predicted model, not a curated record. The transcript has 3 exons.
UCACAGACCAGAGGGGUGGGUCGGUCACAGACCAGAGAGGUGGGUCAGUCACAGACCAGAGGGGUGGGUCGGUCACAGACCAGAGAGGUUGGUUGGAAGAGAGGUGGUUUGGUAGAGAGGUGGUUGGGUAGAGAGGUGGGUCAGUCACAGACCAGAGGGGUGGGUCGGUCACAGACCAGAGAGGUGGGUCAGUCACAGACCAGAGGGGUGGGUCAGUCACAGACCAGAGGGGUGGGUCGGUCACAGACCAGAGAGGUGGGUCAGUCACAGACCAGAGGGGUGGGUCGGAAGAGAGGUGGGUGGGUCGGUCACAGACCAGAGAGAUGGGUCAGUCACAGACCAGAGAGGUUGGUCGGAAGAGAGGUGGUUCAGGUAGAGAGGUGGUUUGAUAGAGAGGUGGUUUGGUAGAGAGGUGGGUCAGUCACAGACCAGAGGGGUGGGUCGGUCACAGACCAGAGAGGUGGGUCCGUCACAGACCAGAGAGGUUGGUUGGAAGAGAGGUGGUUCGGUAGAGAAGUGGUUGGGUAGAGAGGUGGGUCAGUAGAGAAGUGGUUGGGUAGAGAGGUGGGUCAGUCACAGACCAGAGAGGUGGGUCGGUCACAGACCAGAGAGGUGGGUCAGUCACAGACCAGAGAGGUUGGUUGGAAGAGAGGUGGUUCGGUAGAGAGGUGGUUUGGUAGAGAGGUGGGUCAGUCACAGACCAGAGGGGUGGGUCGGUCACAGACCAGAGAGGUGGGUCAGUCACAGACCAGAGGGGUGGGUCGGAAGAGAGAUGGUUCGUUAGAGAGGUGGUUUGGUAGAGAGGUGGGUCAGUCACAGACCAGAGAGGUGGGUCAGUCACAGACCAGAGAGGUUGGUUGGAAGAGAGGUGGUUCGUUAGAGAGGUGGUUGGGUAGAGUGGUGGGUCGGUCACAGACCAGAGAGGUGGGUCAGUCACAGACCAGAGGGGUGGGUCAGUCACAGACCAGAGAGGUGGGUCAGUCACAGACCAGAGAGGUGGGUCAGUCACAGACCAGAGAGGUGGGUCGGAAGAGAGGUGGUUGGGUAGAGAGGUGGUUUGGUAGAGAGGUGGUUUGGUAGAGAGGUGGGUCAGUCACAGACCAGAG